CGAUUAGAGUUUGAUUCUGGCUCAGGACGAACGCUGGCGGCGUGCUUAAUACAUGCAAGUCGAGCGAGGUUAUGUUGUGGACAUCCUUCGGGAGGGAAGCGAUAUGACCUAGCGGCGGACGGGUGAGUAACGCGUGAAUAAUCUGCCCCAUACAGGGGGAUAGCCUCGGGAAACCGGGAUUAAAACCGCAUGAUGCUUUUUUAUCGCAUGGUAGAGAAGUCAAAUCGAAUAAGAGGUAUGGGAUGAGUUCGCGUCUGAUUAGCUGGUUGGCGGGGUAAGAGCCCACCAAGGCGACGAUCAGUAGCCGGCCUGAGAGGGUGACCGGCCACACUGGAACUGAGACACGGUCCAGACUCCUACGGGAGGCAGCAGUGGGGAAUAUUGCACAAUGGAGGGAACUCUGAUGCAGCGACGCCGCGUGAGUGAAGAAGGUCUUCGGAUCGUAAAACUCUGUCCUUGGUGACGAAGAAAAUGACGGUAGCCAAGGAGGAAGCCCCGGCUAACUACGUGCCAGCAGCCGCGGUAAUACGUAGGGGGCGAGCGUUGUCCGGAUUUACUGGGCGUAAAGGGUGAGUAGGCGGUUAUAUAUGUCAGGUGUAAAAAGCUAUGGCUUAACCAUAGUAAGCACUUGAAACUGUAUGACUUGAGUGCAGGAGAGGUAAGCGGAAUUCCUAGUGUAGCGGUGAAAUGCGUAGAUAUUAGGAGGAACACCGGUGGCGAAGGCGGCUUACUGGACUGUAACUGAC
Molecule: ribosomal RNA, 746 nt
Filed under: uncultured bacterium
Lineage: Bacteria
Description: bacterial SSU rRNA
Rfam family: Bacterial small subunit ribosomal RNA
Source: RNAcentral